ACGGCGAGUGAAGCGGCAAAAGCUCAAAUUUGAAAUCUGGUACCUUCGGUGCCCGAGUUGUAAUUUGGAGAGGGCAACUUUGGGGCCGUUCCUUGUCUAUGUUCCUUGGAACAGGACGUCAUAGAGGGUGAGAAUCCCGUGUGGCGAGGAGUGCGGUUCUUUGUAAAGUGCCUUCGAAGAGUCGAGUUGUUUGGGAAUGCAGCUCUAAGUGGGUGGUAAAUUCCAUCUAAAGCUAAAUAUUGGCGAGAGACCGAUAGCGAACAAGUACAGUGAUGGAAAGAUGAAAAGAACUUUGAAAAGAGAGUGAAAAAGUACGUGAAAUUGUUGAAAGGGAAGGGCAUUUGAUCAGACAUGGUGUUUUGUGCCCUCUGCUCCUUGUGGGUAGGGGAAUCUCGCAUUUCACUGGGCCAGCAUCAGUUUUGGUGGCAGGAUAAAUCCAUAGGAAUGUAGCUUGCCUCGGUAAGUAUUAUAGCCUGUGGGAAUACUGCCAGCUGGGACUGAGGACUGCGACGUAAGUCAAGGAUGCUGGCAUAAUGGUUAUAUGCCGCCCGUCUUGAAACCACGGAC
This 567-nucleotide ribosomal RNA is filed under the name Saccharomyces cerevisiae (brewer's yeast). Its description in RNAcentral is "eukaryotic LSU rRNA". It matches the Rfam family "Eukaryotic large subunit ribosomal RNA", at positions 86 to 666 of the family's 3401-position model. The record is from RNAcentral. Lineage: Eukaryota; Fungi; Ascomycota; Saccharomycetes; Saccharomycetales; Saccharomycetaceae.